This 484-nucleotide ribosomal RNA is filed under the name uncultured bacterium. Its description in RNAcentral is "partial 16S ribosomal RNA". It matches the Rfam family "Bacterial small subunit ribosomal RNA", at positions 30 to 507 of the family's 1533-position model. The record is from RNAcentral.
AUUGAACGCUGGCGGCAGGCCUAACACAUGCAAGUCGAGCGGAUGAAGGGAGCUUUCUCCUGGAUUCAGCGGCGGACGGGUGAGUAAUGCCUAGGAAUCUGCCUGGUAUUUGGGGAUAACGUCCGUAAACGGGCGCUAAUACCGCAUACGUCCUGAGGGAGAACGUGGUGGAUCUUCGGACCUCACGCUAUCAGAUGAGCCUAGGUCGGAUUAGCUAGUUGGUGGGGUAAAGGCCUACCAAGGCGACGAUCCGUAACUGGUCUGAGAGGAUGAUCAGGCACACUGGAACUGAGACACGGUCCAGACUCCUACGGGAGGCAGCAGUGGGGAAUAUUGGACAAUGGGCGAAAGCCUGAUCCAGCAAUGCCGCGUGUGUGAAGAAGGUCUUCGGAUUGUAAAGCACUUUAAGUUGGGAGGAAGGGCAGUAAGUUAAUACAUUGCUGUUUUGACGUUACCAACAGAAUAAGCACCGGCUAACUUCGUG